UAGGGGAGACCGGGGCUGGCUGGAACACUUUUCACUCUCGGCUAUAUUUCUCCGUCUUACAAUGCGUUGAAAUUGUCAAAUUGUGAUUAACUGAAAGCUUGGGAUCUCAGCUACAAAAUGUAUACAUUCAAAGUCAACAA
Molecule: long non-coding RNA, 140 nt
Organism: Alosa sapidissima (American shad)
Lineage: Eukaryota; Metazoa; Chordata; Actinopteri; Clupeiformes; Clupeidae
Exons: 3
Source: RefSeq, a predicted model, not a curated record